AUUGAACGCUGGCGGCAGGCCUAACACAUGCAAGUCGAACGGUAGCACAGAGAGCUUGCUCUUGGGUGACGAGUGGCGGACGGGUGAGUAAUGUCUGGGAAACUGCCCGAUGGAGGGGGAUAACUACUGGAAACGGUAGCUAAUACCGCAUAACGUCUUCGGACCAAAGUGGGGGACCUUCGGGCCUCACACCAUCGGAUGUGCCCAGAUGGGAUUAGCUAGUAGGUGGGGUAAUGGCUCACCUAGGCGACGAUCCCUAGCUGGUCUGAGAGGAUGACCAGCUACACUGGAACUGAGGCACGGUCCAGACUCCUACGGGAGGCAGCAGUGGGGAAUAUUGCACAAUGGGCGCAAGCCUGAUGCAGCCAUGCCGGGUGUAUGAAGAAGGCCUUCGGGUUGUAAAGUACUUUCAGCGGGGAGGAAGGCGGUGGAGUUAAUAGCUUCAUCGAUUGACGUUACCCGCAGAAGAAGCACUGGCUAACUCCGUGCCAGCAGCCGCCGUAA
This 504-nucleotide ribosomal RNA is filed under the name uncultured bacterium. RNAcentral describes it as "partial 16S ribosomal RNA". It matches the Rfam family "Bacterial small subunit ribosomal RNA", at positions 30 to 523 of the family's 1533-position model. The record is from RNAcentral.